RNAcentral lists this unclassified non-coding RNA (259 nucleotides) under Niesslia tenuis. RNAcentral's name for it is "partial contains 5.8S ribosomal RNA, internal transcribed spacer 2, and large subunit ribosomal RNA". Lineage: Eukaryota; Fungi; Ascomycota; Sordariomycetes; Hypocreales; Niessliaceae. The record is from RNAcentral.
CGCACAUUGCGCCCGCCAGUACUCUGGCGGGCAUGCCUGUUCGAGCGUCAUUUCAACACUCAAGCCCACCCCCGCUUGGCGUUGGGGAUCAGCCGCGCCGACUGAGGCCGGCUGGCCCUGAAAUACAGUGGCGGUCUCGCUGUAGCCUCCCCUGCGUAGUAGCACACCUCGCACCGGAGAGCAGCGCGGCCACGCCGUAAAACCCCCCACCUCUCACAAGGUUGACCUCGAAUCAGGUAGGAAUACCCGCUGAACUUAA